Molecule: ribosomal RNA, 253 nt
Filed under: uncultured bacterium
Lineage: Bacteria
Description: partial 16S ribosomal RNA
Rfam family: Bacterial small subunit ribosomal RNA
Source: RNAcentral
UACAGAGGUCUCAAGCGUUGUUCGGAUUUACUGGGCGUAAAGGGUGCGUAGGCUGUAUUUUAAGUCUGAUGUGAAAGUUUGUAGCUCAACUACAAAAGCGCAUUGGAAACUAAAGUGCUAGAGGACUGGAGGGGAAGCUGGAAUUCUCGGUGUAGCAGUGAAAUGCGUAGAUAUCGAGAGGAACACCAGUGGCGAAGGCGGGCUUCUAGACAGUUCCUGACGCUGAAGCACGAAAGCUAGGGGAGCAAACAGG